This 274-nucleotide ribosomal RNA is filed under the name uncultured bacterium. RNAcentral describes it as "partial 16S ribosomal RNA". It matches the Rfam family "Bacterial small subunit ribosomal RNA", at positions 523 to 796 of the family's 1533-position model. The record is from RNAcentral.
AUACGGAGGGUGCAAGCGUUAAUCGGAAUUACUGGGCGUAAAGCGCUCGUAGGCGGCUUGUUAAGUCGGAUGUGAAAGCCCCGGGCUCAACCUGGGAACUGCAUUCGAUACUGGCAAGCUAGAGUAUAGUAGAGGCAAGUGGAAUUCCGGGUGUAGCGGUGAAAUGUGUAGAUAUCCGGAGGAACAUCAGUGGCGAAGGCGACUUGCUGGACUAAUACUGACGCUGAGGAGCGAAAGCGUGGGGAGCAAACGGGAUUAGAAACCCCAGUAGUCC